GCACUCCCGGGGCGUCUCUUUCUCAUCACGAGAGGAGGCGCACCCAGAGCGCACACGCUGAUACCCGAAAGAUGGUGAACUAUGCCUGGCCAGGACGAAGCCAGGGGAAACCCUGGUGGAGGUCCGCAGCGAUUCUGACGUGCAAAUCGAUCGUCGGAGCUGGGUAUAGGGGCGAAAGACCAAUCGAACCAUCUAGUAGCUGGUUCCCUCCGAAGUUUCCCUCAGGAUAGCUUGCGCUCACGAGAAACGAGUCUCAUCCGGUAGAGCGAAUGAUUAGAGGCCUUGGGGUCGAAACGACCUCAACCUAUUCUCAAACUCCAAAUAGAUGAGAACUCCGGCUUUCUUGAAACUUUGUUGAUUGAAGCCGGGGGCUCGGAUCAGAGUGCCAAGUGGGCCAAUUUUGGUAAGCAGAACUGGCGCUGUGGGAUGAACCAAACGUCGAGUUAAGGCGCCCAAAUCAACGCUCAUGUGAAACCAUGAAAGGCGUUGGUUGCUUAAGACAGCAG
RNAcentral lists this ribosomal RNA (506 nucleotides) under Moissonia obscura. Its description in RNAcentral is "partial large subunit ribosomal RNA". It matches the Rfam family "Eukaryotic large subunit ribosomal RNA", at positions 755 to 1243 of the family's 3401-position model. Lineage: Eukaryota; Metazoa; Arthropoda; Insecta; Hemiptera; Miridae. The record is from RNAcentral.